CCCUACGGGGCGCAGCAGGCGCGAAACCUUUACAAUGCGGGCAACCGUGAUAAGGGAACCUCGAGUGCCUGUAAACGCAGGCUGUUCAGGUGUUUAAAACGCACCUGGAGAAAGGGCCGGGCAAGACCGGUGCCAGCCGCCGCGGUAAUACCGGCGGCUCGAGUGGUGGCCGCUUUUAUUACCGCGGC
This 188-nucleotide ribosomal RNA is filed under the name uncultured Methanomicrobiales archaeon. RNAcentral describes it as "partial 16S ribosomal RNA". It matches the Rfam family "Archaeal small subunit ribosomal RNA", at positions 321 to 519 of the family's 1478-position model. The record is from RNAcentral. Lineage: Archaea; Methanobacteriati; Methanobacteriota; Methanomicrobia; Methanomicrobiales.